Molecule: long non-coding RNA, 1908 nt
Organism: Brachypodium distachyon (stiff brome)
Lineage: Eukaryota; Viridiplantae; Streptophyta; Magnoliopsida; Poales; Poaceae
Exons: 4
Source: RefSeq, a predicted model, not a curated record
ACGGAACCCUCACGACAGUCUCUCUUCCAGGCUCGCGACGCGACGGCACUGCCCCUCCCGCCGGACUCCCUCCUGUACGAUGCCACUCCUCUUCCGCAGCUCCUGCAGCCCAACGGAAAUCCUGGGCCGACUUUGUUGCCCGGUACUCGAUCCAGACGGCUGCUCCAUGCCCUGAAUCGACAGAACGGAUCGGCCGCCGUGCAUCGGUGGAGAAUCUAAGAAGGCGACAUCGUGGGCGAGUGAGCUAAUUCGGUCUUCAAUCAAGCAAUCAAAUCGCCUGUUCCUGGUGGAGUUUUUUUUUUUGCAGGGGUUCCUGGUGGAGUUGAUGGGCUCCGCUCACCGGCGGCCGACAUGCAGGUAGUGGUUGUUGUGGUCUUUCCGGAUUCUUGUUGUCCUGGGAAUUUCAAAAUCGCAUCUGGUAUAUUGAUCCCUCUCUUACUAUCUUAUUGUCCAGGGAAUUUCAAAACCGCAUCUGGUAUAUAGAAAAUCGGUUGAUGUUCACUUUUUUUUUGUAUGCCCCUAACAACUUCCUGAAAUGCUAAAGAAAAACAAACUGAAGUUUAGAUGUACUUACUUUUCCAAUGUUUCUUUAUGAGUCAUUUUUUCGCUGUUAUCCAGAAUUAAAAGCAGAAGCAGUGCUGCCAUGAUACGCGAAGUUAUAUAUACCCUGCAAUCCUGCCGCCUUUCUUUUACUGUAUAACUACACAAUUGAAUGCUGUCUAUUUCAGAAUGAGAGGAAAUACUUCUCAAGAUUGCCAAGUUGUUUCCAGGCUUCAGAAAUCCAAUUUCAGUGGGCUCGUAUUUUUCGUUAUCACUGAGUUCUUACCUAUUUCAAGUGAUACUAGAAUUCUAACCUAUAUUGAUCUGAGGCAUAUAUUGCAAUCUAUGUUCUCCUGUCCUGAAGUAAGUUAAGUAGUAUUUUAAAUUUUUAUUACAAUGCCCAGUUCCCUUUUGUACUGAUUUAAUCAUUGACAAUGUGAGGGGCUGUCGAACAUCAGUUUGACAUAAAUCUGUUUGGCCUUCACUAAUGAUCCAUGGAGUUUUUCAUUGUUCAUGCAGCUACCAAUAGGUGCUCUUCUUGAAUAGAUCAUAUACUUAUUUUUUGCAUCUUGUUCCAAGCAUACUUAGUCUACACUUGUGCACUGUUUCCUAUCCAGUUUGUGCGGCUUUAAUUUAUGUGUUAAUUUUAUGCUCCUAUUAGCAGGACAAAGUUGCUCGUGUAGCUUCAACACAAAGGCAGCUUGGCUUUCCUAAGAGAAAAGAGAUGGACGGACGGACGCAACAAUGUGUGCUGCAUGUCGUGGUGGUGUCACGGCAGAUGCCAUAGGAUGGCUUAACUUGGAGCCGAUGGACGAAGGAGGAACCGGAGGAGGGAGGACGUGAAGGGAAACACGCACAAGUUACACAAACACACACAUAUUUACCCAGGUUCGGAGCCCUCUUGCCGAGAUGUACCACCGGGAGUUUGACUCUGUACAUGUGUACUGUGGGCCGAUAACUUGUCCAGUGGUUUUCUUGGGUCGAUAACUUGUUGUGGCUGUGGGCCGUGUUGAGCCUGGGCAACUGAAACUACUUAACGUAGCGGCGUAGCGCUGUGUCCGGAGUAAGGAAUCGCAUGAAAUAGAAAGAACUCAGUGCUCAAUGUCGUCUUCCUUUCUUCAGGCGUCGCCGUCUAAACCUAGCUCUCCUGGCCACAGCCCUCACCUUCACCGGAGUAGUCAGGGUAAAGUACUAACAACUUGGUAUCAGAGACUUCUGGUUCUCGGUGCGCUUCACAUCUCACCGCUGUUCUUAACAUUGACCGUCUAGUUGGAUGUUCUUUCGGGUUUCCCUGUAAAUCAGAGGAUGACGCUUGACCGGUCUUUCUCACAGUAGAAUUGAAAUUUAAGGACAUUACCAUGAAUUCUA